Phoenix dactylifera (date palm) is the source of this 364-nucleotide non-coding RNA. Lineage: Eukaryota; Viridiplantae; Streptophyta; Magnoliopsida; Arecales; Arecaceae. The record is from RefSeq and is a predicted model, not a curated record.
AGAAGGGACCGGUCUCUUAUUCUGAUCGUAAUUUGGGACCACGGAUCCAACGAAUCAGCUGAUCGGAUCGGGUUCAUUAGCGAUUCAGAUCCGAUCCGAAAUUUUCGGGUUGGUUCAAAUCGAAUAGGUGCGGAGAGCUUCUCCACCAGCCAACACCAGCCAUUUAAGCUUCAUUGAGGAUUUCAAUGACAAGUCAAGCAUGAAUUAUCAUCUCAACAUGGAUUUGAGCUAUCACAACAAGGAAAUCUUAAUUUCAAGUAUGGUAUCAGAAUGGUAGAUCAAUGUACAAGCAUAUCAAAGUACCUGUUCCAAUGUGGCAGUUCUGGAUGGCAACAUUGGUGGAUUCACUGAUAUGAAUGCCAUC